CGGUUUUUUUAAACUUUUCGGUAUUUUUAGGUCAAAAUUAAAUCGAUAUGAAUUGUGCUGUCGCGACUUAUCGAAACACUGCCAUUUGAAUUGCGGAACAAAACAAAGUAAUUUUUGUAUUAGAUUUUCCCGUGGACGGCCGUUUUAAAGACCGGCGGCGCCCUUUGCCGCAGCUGUGGCCCACUACUCUGCCCUGCCUCAGCCCCCAGACCACCCCGGAUGUGCUCUACGCGGAGUGUUCAUCAACAAAGCAGACCAUCGCUGAAACUGGCCUGGAAACUGGGACACACACUGGCUACCGGCAAUACCAUCGUCCUAAAGUCAGUCAAUGUGGUGCCUGGUUUCGGUAGAGCCGGCGCUGCCCUGCCCAAUCACCCAGAUUGCCUCUUUUAGCUUCCUGGGCGAGCUCGCAGAAGCCUCGCAACAUUGCCGUGCAUGCCAUGAAGUCUGCUCUUCUCGACAGAUGUCGGGAGCCAUCAGGUCAUCAUUCGGGCCAGACUGGGUGGAUAGUCUGGACACUUGUGUAAUCCCCUACUCGCGUCCUUGCCGCCUAGGGGAUUUGUGUACUGGCUGGACGGAGACUGUCAACGGAGAGCGUCGUUCCGCGGACCUGCAUCGUCUGUCGCAGAUCACCGACAUCCGGGCCGUGUGGACACCGGAUGCGAAAGUGCUGCGCAAUCACACGUCUCUUCACGGCUCACAAAUUGUUUCCUCAACUGCAUAGCCAGUGGGGUGUGACACGCAGUACUCACGACGUCUGGUCUGCUCGUGUCCCAAACAUCUGAUGCUAUCCGGGAGUAGUGACAUGAACAAGGACUGUAUAUCCGUCUUCUGGCGCUGCGAUGGUACCACCUGUGACAACUGUGACAAUGUCCACGAUGCCGACUGCUGCAAGCGGCCAAGAGACUUUCAGUGUCCCAUCAACAAAGUGAGUGGAAAGACACGAUAACUGCACAAACCAUAUCGUGCUGCAUGAAUCACUGCAAAAAAAAAAAUACCACCCAAGUAGCAGAGGAACUAUAUGAUAAUUCGAAACGACGGUGUCCUUUUAGUUAUGGGAACAUUUUUUGGAAUGCAUAAGCAUCUUUUAAUGAAACAAAACGGAAUGAAAUGCCAAUGUGUCCUUUCACAUAUGGGAAUUUAUAAGAGUUUCGAAGUACAAGUGCAGAAGAUUCCAAAUCUUUGCCACGAUUCGACAGAUCCGCCUCCCCUCGGCCAGUACCGAAUAGGGUCCAUAUAUCCUUCGCUGGUAAAAUAAAAAUCAAAUACGACGAAGAAUA
RNAcentral lists this small RNA (1280 nucleotides) under Drosophila pseudoobscura pseudoobscura. RNAcentral describes it as "GA32899". The record is from RNAcentral. Lineage: Eukaryota; Metazoa; Arthropoda; Insecta; Diptera; Drosophilidae.